UACGAGGGGGGCGAGCGUUGUUCGGAAUUAUUGGGCGUAAAGGGUGCGUAGGCGGCUUUGCAAGUCCCAUGUGAAAUCCCACGGCUCAACCGUGGAAGUGCAUGGGAAACUGCAGAGCUUGAGUACUUAAGAGGAUCGCGGAAUUCCCGGUGUAGAGGUGAAAUUCGUAGAUAUCGGGAGGAACACCAGUGGCGAAGGCGGCGAUCUGGGAAGAUACUGACGCUGAGGUGCGAAAGCGUGGGGAGCAAAGCAGG
Molecule: ribosomal RNA, 254 nt
Filed under: uncultured bacterium
Lineage: Bacteria
Description: partial 16S ribosomal RNA
Rfam family: Bacterial small subunit ribosomal RNA
Source: RNAcentral